This 31-nucleotide non-coding RNA is filed under the name Homo sapiens (human). Lineage: Eukaryota; Metazoa; Chordata; Mammalia; Primates; Hominidae. The record is from RNAcentral.
UCAACAUGGCCCAGCAAAUCGGCCAGUCCCA